Molecule: transfer RNA, 88 nt
Filed under: Candidatus Saccharimonadota bacterium
Lineage: Bacteria; Candidatus Saccharimonadota
Description: tRNA-Ser
Rfam family: tRNA
About the family: Transfer RNA (tRNA) molecules are approximately 80 nucleotides in length. Their secondary structure includes four short double-helical elements and three loops (D, anti-codon, and T loops).
Source: RNAcentral
GGAGAGGUGCAGGAGUGGUUGAACUGGCUGCUCUCGAAAAGCAGUAAGCCGCAAGGCUUCGAGGGUUCGAAUCCCUCCCUCUCCGCCA